UAAGACGGAGGAUGCAAGUGUUAUCCGGAAUUACUGGGCGUAAAGCGUCUGUAGGUGGUUGAAUAAGUCGGCUGUUAAAUCUUGAGGCUCAACUUCAAAAUCGCAGUCGAAACUAUCCGACUAGAGUAUAGUAGAGGUAAAGGGAAUUUCCAUUGGAGCGGUGAAAUGCGUAGAUAUUGGAGAGAGCACCGAUUGCGAAGGCACUUUACUGGGCUAUUACUGACACUCAGAGACGAAAGCUAGGGUAGCAAAUGGGAUUAGAUACCCCAGUAGUCCUAGCUGUAAACAAUGGAUACUAGAUGUUGAACAGAUCGACCUGUGCAGUAUUAAAGCUAACGCGUUAAGUAUCCCGCCUGGGAAGUAUGCUCGCAAGAGUG
This 377-nucleotide ribosomal RNA is filed under the name uncultured Skeletonema. RNAcentral's name for it is "bacterial SSU rRNA". It matches the Rfam family "Bacterial small subunit ribosomal RNA", at positions 521 to 896 of the family's 1533-position model. Lineage: Eukaryota; Bacillariophyta; Thalassiosirophyceae; Thalassiosirales; Thalassiosiraceae. The record is from RNAcentral.